This 28-nucleotide non-coding RNA is filed under the name Rattus norvegicus (Norway rat). Lineage: Eukaryota; Metazoa; Chordata; Mammalia; Rodentia; Muridae. The record is from RNAcentral.
UAGAAUGUGAAAUGCUGGGGAAAGCUUC